CUAAGAGUCGGACACGGCUAAGUGACUUCACUUUCACUUUUCACUUUCAUGCAUUGGAGAAGGAAAUGGCAACCCAUUCCAGUGUUCUUGCCUGGAGAAUCCCAGGGAUGGGGGAACCUGGUGGACUUCCGUCUCUGGGGUCGCACAGAGUUGGACACGACUGAAGCGACUUAGCAGCAGCAGCAGCAGUGCUCAGUUGCAACCCUGACUCUGAAUCUGACUCUGCAACCCUGUGGACUGUAGCCUUCAAGGCUCUGCUGUCCAUGGGAUUUCCCAGGCAAGAAUACUGAAGUGGGUUGCUAUUUCCUUCUCCAGGGGAUCAUUCUGACCCAGGGAUGGAACCCGUGUCUCUUGUGUCUCCUGCUUUGCAGGCAGAUUCUUUACCACUGAGCUACCAGGGGAGUCCCAGUAACUGGCCUGGAAUAAACUAAAGACACAAAUGACCAGGAAGAUUGAGUUCAGAAGUCUGGAUCAAAACCAAGAUAAAUCCUGACAUGUAUUUUAUUUCAGGAAAAUUUCCCUCUUCCCUAAUGACUCUCGCUUAUGGAAGAAUUACUUCACAUCAAAGAGGUGACCCACCUGGAGGAAGGAUUUUUCUUGAGCAACUCAAAGACUGAGGACACAUGUGGGAUCCACUUCUAAUUAUUCAAAAGGUUUCUUAGAUGGUGGUUCCAGGUGUGUCCCUUACAGUAGGGGGGAGUAUAGUGUAGAGUGUGAAUCUCUCUGCCUAGGGAUCUGAUGGGUUUCCCUGGACCCCCAACCUUUGAGAAGCAAGGGUCUGGGAUGGAAGUUCAUCUGAGCUUGGAGAAGGUAUCUGAGGAACCUGCAGAAUUUCAAGCUAAUUGGUUUUGUUGCGGCACGCAGGAUCUUCAUUUCAGGAUAUGACAACAGAGCCGGCAGAAAAACUGCAUCUUGUCUCAGCCUGGAGAGCAGAAACACUGAAGAGCUGGUGACAGUGUCCAUCUUGCCUUCUCCCUGCUGACAGUGUAAAUGUGAUGCCUCAGCUGACUAGGGUCCCUGAAUGAAGACAUAGUGGAGCCCAGCCAUUGUGGACUUUCUGUGCAUGAGAAAUAUGCUGUUGUGUUAGGCCAGUGAGACUUGGGGGUUAUUUGUUGCUUAACCCACCUUCACCUGACUAAUGCAUCAUCUUGCCUUGCUCCAAAAAGAAGUUAAAGUAGCUUAAAAGAGAAAUUGAGCACAGUAGGAUAAAAAAAUAACUGAGUAAAUUAAGGAUAAUUUAUAAUAGCAUUUACCUCACAGAAUUAUUGGGAGAAGACAUAAAUAUUUAUCAGUUGUGAUUGACAGUAGAGGUAACAAUAUGAGACUUUAGUUCAUUUUUAUGUUUGGAUCUUUCUUUUGUUUUUCAAGAUUUAUGACAUUCUUUAAUGAUAAAGAAAAGGGAAAUUCCAAAGCUCUUGUUCUUACUUUAAAAAGAACUUCACAAGUAUUAUACUUUUCAGAAAACAGAUAACAAUUCAAAUAUUAUUACAAGGGCAAUGGAUUAUUAAAUGAAUCAGUCAGAAAUGGAGAAUGUUAGAACUUACAGGUUACAUUCACAG
This 1559-nucleotide long non-coding RNA is filed under the name Bos grunniens (domestic yak). Its description in RNAcentral is "lncRNA (ENSBGRG00000007014.1)". Lineage: Eukaryota; Metazoa; Chordata; Mammalia; Artiodactyla; Bovidae. The record is from RNAcentral.